Molecule: long non-coding RNA, 127 nt
Organism: Etheostoma cragini (Arkansas darter)
Lineage: Eukaryota; Metazoa; Chordata; Actinopteri; Perciformes; Percidae
Exons: 3
Source: RefSeq, a predicted model, not a curated record
CUCUGAAGCAUAGUUAAGAAGGGUCAGGAACAGAUUCACAUCCUCUGAUGAUGUUUUACUGAGGAUGAAGGUCUAAUCAAGGAUCAGCAGCUUGCGAUUUAUGUCACCAUCUGCAAAUAUAAAGAAG